UACAGAGGUCCCAAGCGUUGUUCGGAUUCACUGGGCGUAAAGGGUGCGUAGGCGGCGUGGCAAGUCUGAUGUGAAAUCCCGGGGCUCAACCCCGGAACUGCAUUGGAUACUGCCAUGCUAGAGUACUGGAGAGGAGAUUGGAAUUUACGGUGUAGCAGUGAAAUGCGUAGAUAUCGUAAGGAAGACCAGUGGCGAAGGCGAAUCUCUGGACAGUUACUGACGCUGAGGCACGAAGGCCAGGGGAGCAAACGGG
This 253-nucleotide ribosomal RNA is filed under the name uncultured bacterium. RNAcentral describes it as "partial 16S ribosomal RNA". It matches the Rfam family "Bacterial small subunit ribosomal RNA", at positions 524 to 776 of the family's 1533-position model. The record is from RNAcentral.